Small nucleolar RNA from Grammomys surdaster, 132 nucleotides. RefSeq annotates it as small nucleolar RNA SNORA17. The record is from RefSeq and is a predicted model, not a curated record. Lineage: Eukaryota; Metazoa; Chordata; Mammalia; Rodentia; Muridae. The transcript has a single exon.
UCUGCCCUUAGAAGCAUUGCAGGUAUGUCUUCUGUGUCACAUGUCCUUCAGUAGGUGGCAGAGUGGAGAGAGACUAUGUCUAUGCUCAGUGUUCUGACUUAUGAACAUCUGAAUACCUAGUAGCCUAAUAUU